UGGGGAAUAUUGCACAAUGGGGGAAACCCUGAUGCAGCGACGCCGCGUGAGCGAAGAAGUAUUUCGGUAUGUAAAGCUCUAUCAGCAGGGAAGAAAAUGACGGUACCUGACUAAGAAGCACCGGCUAAAUACGUGCCAGCAGCCGCGGUAAUACGUAUGGUGCAAGCGUUAUCCGGAUUUACUGGGUGUAAAGGGAGCGUAGACGGAUGGGCAAGUCUGAUGUGAAAACCCGGGGCUCAACCCCGGGACUGCAUUGGAAACUGUUCAUCUAGAGUGCUGGAGAGGUAAGUGGAAUUCCUAGUGUAGCGGUGAAAUGCGUAGAUAUUAGGAGGAACACCAGUGGCGAAGGCGGCUUACUGGACAGUAACUGACGUUGAGGCUCGAAAGCGUGGGGAGCAAA
RNAcentral lists this ribosomal RNA (400 nucleotides) under uncultured bacterium. Its description in RNAcentral is "bacterial SSU rRNA". It matches the Rfam family "Bacterial small subunit ribosomal RNA", at positions 355 to 772 of the family's 1533-position model. The record is from RNAcentral.